Molecule: long non-coding RNA, 228 nt
Filed under: Physcomitrium patens
Lineage: Eukaryota; Viridiplantae; Streptophyta; Bryopsida; Funariales; Funariaceae
Description: long non-coding RNA (PPAT_LNC011733)
Source: RNAcentral
AGAAGACAAAGACAAUGAUGGUUGUAAAUGUAGAAAUGAAGAUGAAGAGGCAAAGAAGGUAGAAAAGAAGGCCUCUAUGGUUGCAAAGACCAGCAAUGAAGAGCAUGAAGAUGUUGAUGAUGAUGGUGAUGAGAAUUAUGAACCUUUGAGUGUGAAAAGACUAUCUUCAAAAGAAAAGAAGGUUGGAGGUGACCAUGGAGUGCAACAAACUGAGUCUUCUUUAAAUGA